UUGAUUUGGCUGGGUUUUUAAGCUACUGUUUGGUAUUUUAACAAGUUAUCUGGGCAGAACAAAAAGUGCUUCUUUACGGCAAAUGCUAUUGCUGCUGCUUCUUCUUCCUUUUCAAUUUUGAUUUCUCAUUUCUCUCCAUUUUGAUUUCCUUUUGCUUAAUUGUGAAAAUGUCAAGUUAAACCUAUGGCUGAUGUUUUCUUUUUUAAAAAUUUCUUUAGGCAAAGAUCCCAUGACCAAAUUCACUUACUGCUGCAUUCUGACAUGUUGAAUGUUCCCUCACCAUUACUGUCAAAUGCCGGUUUCUAAGGUUACUUCGUUAGAGUGUCGGCUAUGGUAUGUAUUCGAUUUGCGUAGAAUAAAUUAAUUUGCAGUUUUUUCAUAUAUUUAAAGCAUUAUAGCUCAUAUCUAUGUUAUCCUGCUUGGGUGGUAUGUUCAAAAUGAAUUUUAAUGUCUCUAUUUAGAGGAUCAUAUUCUUGUCUUUAAAUAUGAAUGUAUCUAACAAAAGUGCUUUAAGAAAAAUAAAGAAUUCGAAUAAUAUAGUCCUUCAUGUGAUGAAAUCUGAAUUCAGGUCAGUCAUUUUGUUUAUAUUAGAUUUUUUAGAUCAAACUCUCUAUGUUGCUUUGAUUAUUAUUAUUUUUUGAAGUACCCGUUUUUGGCACUCGUGUUCGACAUGGGUAUAGGAUAUGAUCAUCCUUGGACAUAGCUAACUGACCAUCCUUUGUUGAAAACAUUGGCAUUUGGUUCUUAAAGCAUCAAUGGAGACUGUAGACUUCUACAUAAGAUUGUUGCAGCCCUUAAGCUGUUCUAGUUGUUCUGUAGGAUGUUAAUAUUACAAGCUUGACAAGUAGUGGAAUUCUUGAAGACCCUCUUAGUUAGAUACAUAUAUGGAACUUUCCUUUUACAAGUACAAAUUAUAUACAUAUAGACAUACAUACAUAUAUAUACAUAUACAUAUACAUAUACAUAUACAUAUACAUAUACAUAUACAUAUACAUAUACAUAUACAUAUACAUAUAGGCCUUAUCAUUCAUAUAACAACUGCUGGCGAAGUGUUAAAACAGGCCAUCCGAGUGAAGUAGAAUUUUCGUGUUCCGAAGUUGCUUAGCUAGUUGUGGAAUGCUUGUGCCAUAUAUGAACUCUUGUUGUAAAAGAGUUCAAGAAAAAGCAAGGAUCAAAAGUAUAUUAAAUGUAGAAUCAGUAUCGGGUCAGAUCAGAUCGGACUCUCUUGGCCUUGUUUGCUACGUACAUACAUCAUUAGCGUGAUUCUAAACAGUUCAACUUGCUCAUUCUUUUGCAGCCUUAUCUUAUUCAACAUCCUGUUCUAGCCAGUCGGGCCUAAGGUUUCUGGUGGUUGAUAGGUCGCUUAACAAUGGUGUAUAUGAUUCUCAAUCUCUUGAGGUAACUGAAGAAGGGUGUGUUGGAAACAG
RNAcentral lists this long non-coding RNA (1427 nucleotides) under Gossypium barbadense (sea-island cotton). Its description in RNAcentral is "long non-coding RNA (GBAR_LNC018291)". Lineage: Eukaryota; Viridiplantae; Streptophyta; Magnoliopsida; Malvales; Malvaceae. The record is from RNAcentral.